This 231-nucleotide ribosomal RNA is filed under the name Triticum aestivum (bread wheat). RNAcentral's name for it is "partial small subunit ribosomal RNA". Lineage: Eukaryota; Viridiplantae; Streptophyta; Magnoliopsida; Poales; Poaceae. The record is from RNAcentral.
CUGCUUCUACUUUCUGUAUGGAGCUGGGAGCGUCUGCCUGUUGGACGCCCGAAGAGCGUCAGGUUUGAUCCUUGGUAUGCAGAUGAACAUGACGAAUUACGGUGCCCCACGUGGGCUUACAAGUGGGAUAUCGUUUCCGAGAUGACGAACGAUGUCAAUCUCAUGUACCAAAAGUACAUUGCCGAGUUGAACAUGAUUACGCCUGAGCAGGUAAGGAGGUCAUUACUUUAG